Molecule: ribosomal RNA, 323 nt
Filed under: uncultured eukaryote
Lineage: Eukaryota
Description: partial 18S ribosomal RNA
Rfam family: Eukaryotic small subunit ribosomal RNA
Source: RNAcentral
CCCUUAGAUGUUCUGGGCAGCACGCGCGCUACAAUGGUCUUCGCAAACGGAUGCAUUCUCGAAGGAGAAUGCCAAUCUUGGAAUCUAUGCUUGGUCGGGACAGUUGCUUGCAAUUUUUCGACUCGAACCAGGAAUUCCUUGUAAUCGUGAUUCAUUACAUCACGAUGAAUACGUCCCUGCCCUUUGUACACACCGCCCGUCGCUCCUACCGAUUGAAUGUUCCGAUGAAUACCAUGGACUGAGAGUAUGAAUGGGUUCGCUUAUUUCUGCUUCUCGGGAAGUGGAGUAAAUCUUAACAUUUAGAGGAAGGAGAAGUCGUAACA